Molecule: transfer RNA, 68 nt
Filed under: human gut metagenome
Rfam family: tRNA
About the family: Transfer RNA (tRNA) molecules are approximately 80 nucleotides in length. Their secondary structure includes four short double-helical elements and three loops (D, anti-codon, and T loops).
Source: RNAcentral
UGAAGUGGCUCAGCUGGUAGAGCAGUUGAUUCGUAAUCAACAGGUCGUGGGUUCGAGUCCCAUCUUCA